AGCUCCAGUAGCGUAUAUUAAAGUUGUUGCAGUUAAAAAGCUCGUAGUUGGAUUUCUGAUAGUAGCGUUGGGCCCGCCCGGGUUACCGGUGUGAGUGCCUGUUCGCUCCUUUCAUCCUUCUAGAGAACGGUUCUCUCCUUCAUUGGCAGUGGGAUCGCAAUCUAGAUCUUUUACUUUGAAAAAAUUAGAGUGUUUAAAGCAGGCUUGUGCUAUGAAUACAUUAGCAUGGAAUAAUAAUUUAGGACUUUAGUUCUAUUUUGUUGGUUUCUAGAACUGAAGUAAUGAUUGAUAGGGAUAGUUGGGGGUGCUAGUAUUCAGCGGCCAGAGGUGAAAUUCUUGGAUUCGCUGAAGACUAACUUAUGCGAAAGCAUUCACCAAGGAUGUCUUCUUUA
Molecule: ribosomal RNA, 392 nt
Filed under: Reckertia sp.
Lineage: Eukaryota; Cercozoa; Imbricatea; Thaumatomonadida; Thaumatomastigidae
Description: partial small subunit ribosomal RNA
Rfam family: Eukaryotic small subunit ribosomal RNA
Source: RNAcentral